UUUAUGGGAUAAGAGUUAAGAGGUGAGGAAGGAAGAUCGAGAGCGAGUAAGCCAGCGAAGGCUGUGGCGAUGAACAUCGUUCCUCCCUAUGUUGUCAUGGGGGAGCAAGAGAAUGGCGGCCAGCCUUAUCACCAUCACCUCAACCUUUCCUUCCUAUCUUGGUAGGCGUACUUCCCCAAUCGUCCACAAACUAGCUGGCACACGUCCCUCCUCCUCACCUCUGUUAGCUCGUCCUGAUUCUUCAGACACAGAGGUAACGAGGGCUCAUUACUUGGUCGCUGCCCUUCGAUCUCGAGGCAUUUGCAGCUCAUCUGUUGAAUCGGAGGUAGUCAUGAGCGGUAAGGUCGUUCCUCAGAAAUCCCUGGAGAAUUUUCAGACUCCGGAAGAGAUUUCUUACCUUACGCAGCAAGAGGCGGCGGAGAUCGACGACAUGCUGAUGGGUCCUUUUGGCUUCAGCGUCGAUCAGUUGAUGGAACUUGCCGGAUUGAGUGUUGCAACCGCUGUAGCAGAGGCUGGCAGCACAGUUCGGCAAUGGCGGGCGACGGCGACGACCUCCGGCGACUUCCGGUGGCGUCCGGCGGCAGCCGGCGACAGACAGGUUUUCAAGCCAAGUACACAUAGUCGUGUACUUGCUAUUUGUGGCCCUGGAAAUAAUGGUGGUGAUGGUCUGGUGGCUGCUCGGCAUCUAUAUCACUUUGGGUAUAAGCCAUUUAUUUGUUAUCCAAAACGUACUACAAAGGCUCUUUAUAGUGGUCUGGUAACUCAGCUGGAAUCAUUAUCUAUUCCCUUCUUGACUGCGGAAGAGCUGCCUUUUGACUUGUCAAAUGAUUUUGACAUAAUAGUAGAUGCAAUGUUUGGAUUUUCGUUCCAUGGUGCACCUAGGGCCCCAUUUGAUGUUCUUAUUCAAAAGCUGGUUGAUUUGCAAAAUGUGGAUUAUGGCCCAAAAAUGCCUGCAAUUGUGUCCAUAGACAUACCUUCAGGAUGGCAUGUUGAGGAUGGAGAUGUUGGUGAAAGAGGAAUCAAGCCAGAUAUGCUGGUUUCUUUAACAGCUCCGAAGCUGUGUGCGAAGAAAUUUUCUGGUCCUCACCACUUUCUAGGUGGGAGGUUUGUUCCACCAACAAUUAUUCAGAAAUAUAUGCUAAAGCUUCCACAAUAUCCUGGCACUUCUAUGUGUGUUCGGAUUGGAAAACCUAAAGCAGUAGAUGUUUCAUCAUUAAGAGAGAAUUAUCUUUCUCCUGUUUUCCUCGAGGAUCAGGUGCAUGAUGAUCCAAUGAUCCAGUUUAACAAAUGGUUUGAGGAUGCUGUUGCUGCUGGACUGCGUGAGCCAAAUGCCAUGGCCUUGUCAACUGCUGACAAGAAUGGGAAACCUUCUUCAAGAAUGGUGUUGCUCAAAGGCUUCGAUGAAAAUGGUUUUGUCUGGUACACUAACUAUGAGAGUCGAAAAGCAGUUGAAAUAUCAGAAAAUUCAAAUGCUUGCCUCCUCUUUUUCUGGAAUGAUCUCAAUCGCCAGGGCUUAGGCUCAUUAUAAGAAUGAAUCAAAGCAAGAAAAGCACGAUGUCUAAGUGAAAAGGAAUCAUAAGAGACAAACCGAGGAGGGGUGGAGAUUUUAGAACUACGACGUACCUAGGAGAGCGAAGGUGACAAGGAGGAGGAGGAUGUAGUGAGACGUUCUCGUGAAGUUGGAGGUUCAUGACCAGCAGAUGGAGUCAGAAUGGAAUUGGCCCCUUCAAGUUCUUCCAAUGGCUCAGACUGCUCAAGAAAUGGCACAUCCGGCGACUAUGCAGACGGCUCGCCCUCCUGGCCGAGCGGACGCUGAUGACUGACGAAAGUUGCGACCCUCCUAGCCGCAGCAGGUGUUGUGGAUGCGGGACGAGUGCAGCCCGCCUGGCGGCACUGGAUGACGACGGGAACUGGAGCUGGCGGGCAAUGUGCCUGCGGCCGACCGCAGGUGGAUGGCCCUGCUGGAGCUGGACUGGUGCUGGCCGAGACUGUGAUGGAUGCAGGCAGGUUGUGUGCGGUGAUGAAGCGGGUGCGGGAAAAUGGCCUUCUUAUUCUCGAUCCUCUAACGGGUAAAUCUCAGAGAAGAUUCCGGCGGGCGAGUUUUAUCAAAGUGUCAUUAAGGUGACUGUCUCUAUCUCCUAGCAAACUUCCCUAAAUCUGGCGCUUGAGAAAGAGGAUGUGGUUCUUCCUCUUCUUCACCCAACGGCCGCACAGAAGCUCGAUCUUCCGGUGACAUGGUUCUUCUCCGGUGGACUUUUGCCUCUCCGAUCCCUAUGACAUUCGGGAGUAUUGCUCUGUGGUUUUGAGCGAUCGCCGGCGACGAAGAUCGCCAUCCGACUGACCAACAUCUUCCCUGUGCCUGCGACUCCACAGUAACCUAACACGUUACUGUUCCAUUGGCUAGCAGAUUCUUCACCUCCCGAAACCAUCUCGGCUUCAUUCCAUUUGAUCCUCCAGCAUCAUCUGCAUCUUCCAUAGCCUUUCCAUGAGCAUCCAUUGCGUUUCACCCCCUAGAUCAUGGCAUUUGGUGCCUGUUCUUUCCCUGCGCUUGAAGAAGGUGCCAUCGGCAGGACACUGGAGCACAGAGAUUUGCCUUCCGAUCACCCUUGCUGAGCGUGAUCUUGGGUGGCGACCGCAUCAGGGCCUCCUUCGGCAACCCUUGGCAGCGGGGUAUUGUUCUUUUCUCUUUCUAUGUCGUUAUGAUUAUUCUCACUUGAAUCCUCCAGCAGGCUCCCCUUUUCAUCACAAUUCUUCCUUCAAGGAUAUAUCAUUAAGAAUGACACAUCUACAUUUCUAUAUUCUCCCUUCUCUUUUUCUUACACAAAAUAUGGUUUUUGCUCAUGAAAUACUACAUGUCUCGAAAUUAUCAUUUUCUUUCCAAUUGGUUCAUAACAUUUUUGUAGCUUUUUUUAUCUUCUGCUAUACUCAAAAAAACAACAUUUUGCUGCUUUAGAUGACAAUUUGUCUCUCAAUUGUUUUGGUAUAAGUACAAAGGAUGUGCAACCAAAGACUUUUAACAUGUCAUAGUUUGGCUUCCACCCAUGCAACUUCUCAUAUGGAGAUAUUCUCUUCAACACUCCUGAUGGCAUUCGAUUUAUUUGAUAUACUGCCAUACACACAGCAUCUGCCCAAUGAACUUUUGGAACAUUAGUAUUAAAGAGAAGAGAUCUAAUGGCUUCAAUAUAUGUCUAUUCUUUCUUUCAGCGACUUCAUUUUGUUUAGGAGUGUAGGUACAAGAUUUCUGAUGUAAUAUACCUUUCAUUUGCAAAUUGCUUUCAAAUUGAUGGAUCAGCCUUGGAUGUUCAUCGCAGUCUUGUUCUAGUUGAAAAGAAAUUAAAGGAGUCAAAUAAGAGGUAAAGAGGGAGACAAACUGCCUUGCCUACCGCAGCCUCAACCCCAAAACAUAUAUAUAUCGCUUUGCUCAGUCCAGAUCAAAACACGUCUCGACAUUUCUUGACACUAAGUAUAGCACUUACCAGAGUUAUCUCUGACUAAAAACAGAAGAAGCAGCUCCUGUUUCUUGUUUCCUCAAACAGGGUUAGACAAGCGGGGAAGCCAAAGUGCUACCAAACAGGGUUAAAGAAGCCCUCUACAAGGGCCUUAACCCCAAGUAACGAAUUUGCUGAAGGUGACUCUUCCGUUUCCCUUCGGUAGCGUUUGACGCAUUGGAAAUGUACUAUUCAACCGGAAAAUUAAUUCAAAUUUUUAAAAAAAAUUCCUUCCCAUCAAACAUGGGGAGUAAAAAAUAGCCGUUGAACCCAUUUCCGACUAUUUUUUUCUGGAAACUUUUUUCCGCCUGAGAGUCGGAAAAAAAUUUCUUGAAAUAUUUUUCUACCCGUUGGGCUUCUCCGCGCGUCUCUCUCCUCGUCUUCCUCUUCUCAUCCUCCGCAGCUGCCUCACCCUGCUCAUCCUCCGCACCUGCCUUUCCCUGCUACUUCCUCAACCCCCACCGCAGCAUCAACACCACUGUCCUCCGCAGCUGCCUCACCCUCUCACUCUCUCACUGGAAACCCUCGCUCAAAACCCUUACGUCUUUUUUUCACCCAACUUGCCUUCGUGAAGCCUUUCCUCUUCUCUCCCUGCUGCUACCUCAGACCCUUCCGUCCCCUUCUCUCUCUGCUGCUACCUCAGACGCAUCCAUCCCCUUCUCUCCCUGCUGCUACCUCAGACGCAUCCGUCCCCAACACAGCGUUCUUCCUCCUGCACAGCCUUCUGACUAGUGGCUUGAUUUGGGCAUCUCCUCACCAGCGCAGUGUAUAACAGGGGUGAAAGGUAUGUCUCUCUCUCAAUCUCUUCCAUUGCCAUUUUCCCACCGUCCAUUGCAGCCUAUGUUUAUGCAUUCCUUUGUAGGUUUUGAAGUGUGAAUCUCCUGAUCAAUUGUUGAUGCAUCCUGGAAUCCUGUUACAAUUGAUAGGAGAACGAUAUUUUGGUUCUAAUUUUGAGAAACCCUUUCAUGACAGUUCAUGAUAUUUGUGUUCCUCGUUCCCCUAUUUACUGUUAGUUGUUUCCCUUUUUACUGUUAGUCGUUUCCCUUUUAUGCCUGCUUGUCUACACUCCCAAUUGGACCAGGCACCAAGUAUGAUAUAUCUUAACCCAUCCCAUAGCCAGGUUCCACUCAGGCCUUAGAAAUGUUACAGAGCGACAUUUGGUUGUUUUAGAUCAAUUCUCUCACACACACUCUCUAUCUCCCCUUGUUCCUGUCAUCCUAUUCUGGGUUUUUCGGUCCAAACGUGAGCUUCUAUGAAAUUUCAUUUUUCAAAUGGGGAGUUUUUAAGGGGAAAUGGUAUUCCUAAGGAAACCUUUCAGGAGCCCUCUCUGUGUCCCUCUGACGACCAUGAUGGUGGAGUCUCCAGCGACACUGACGAUAAGCUCCCCUAUUUCGAGGCAGUAACCGGCAACCAAAGAUGCAGGAUUCUGUGGAGUAUAUAAGUUUUUCAAGACUGAUUAAAAUCUUUACUGUAGAUCGUUCUUAAGUCCUCUGACAUUAUAGGGUGUUAGAGUCCAUCCUACUUGAAGAGCAGACAUCCCGAGAUGUGGAAUUGUAGGCCCAAAUUGUUGAGCUUGUCUGUGAUGCUAAUUUAACAUUUUCACCCAAAACUGACCCCAACUCUCUGUUUGACAGGUCUCAACACACCCCAUACCUUUCAUGGUUCACCUCUUAAGAAGGCUAUGAACCUGGAAAUUUAUAGUGUGAGAUAUAUAUAUAUGAGUUUCUCUGAAAAUUUUUAAUUUGGGUCUAUUUUCAGGUUCUUUCUCAUAUGUGUGUGUAUGUUUGUGUGAGUGAGAGAAGGAGAGAGUUAACGUAAGCAGCUAAGUCUGCUGCACGGUGAUAAGCAUGAGGCAUGUUUGGACCUUACCUGCUAUACUCCCCAAGUAGGUGAAUGUUUGUUCCAGUGACAUACUAAAAUAUGAAAAAGGAACAAGUUGUUGGCUCACCUCUUGCAGACAAUUAUUCCUGUUAUUGCAGUAACUUUAUGGCAGUAACUUAUUACGGUGCAGCAGACUUAGCUGAAAAUUCUCCGAAUGUUCAGAGAAGGAAGGAGACCCUUAUCAAUAUGUGUGUCGCAAGGGCGAGGAUGUUGCAGGAUCAAUUCAAUGU
Molecule: RNA transcript, 5599 nt
Organism: Nymphaea colorata (pocket water lily)
Lineage: Eukaryota; Viridiplantae; Streptophyta; Magnoliopsida; Nymphaeales; Nymphaeaceae
Gene name: pyridoxine/pyridoxamine 5'-phosphate oxidase 1, chloroplastic
Exons: 13
Source: RefSeq, a predicted model, not a curated record